AUUGAACGCUGGCGGCAGGCCUAACACAUGCAAGUCGAACGAGAGGCGGACGGGUGAGUAAUUGCUGGGAAACUGCCUGAUGGAGGGGGCUAAAUACUGGAAACGGUAGCUAAUACCGCAUACCAUCAGAUGUGCCCAGAGGGGAUUAGCUAGGUGGUGGGGUAACGGCUCACCAAGGCGACGACCCCUAGCUGGUCUGAGAGGAUGACCAGCCACCCUGGAACUGAGACACGGUCCAGACUCCUACGGGAGGCAGCAGUGGGGAAUAUUGCACAAUGGGCGCAAGCCUGAUGCAGUCAUGCCGCGUGUAUGAAGAAGGCCUUCGGGUUGUAAAGUACUUUCAGCGGGGAGGCGUUACCCGCAGAAGAAGCACCGGCUAACUCCGUGCCAGCAGCCGCGGUAAUAC
Molecule: ribosomal RNA, 406 nt
Filed under: uncultured bacterium
Lineage: Bacteria
Description: partial 16S ribosomal RNA
Rfam family: Bacterial small subunit ribosomal RNA
Source: RNAcentral